Molecule: ribosomal RNA, 538 nt
Filed under: uncultured bacterium
Lineage: Bacteria
Description: bacterial SSU rRNA
Rfam family: Bacterial small subunit ribosomal RNA
Source: RNAcentral
AAUAGAUACCCCGGUAGUCCUGGCCAUAAACGAUGAUCACUAGGUGUAGGAGGCUUCGACCCCUUCUGCGCCGCCGCUAACGCAUUAAGUGAUCCGCCUGGGGAGUACGGCCGCAAGGUUAAAAACUCAAAGGAAUUGACGGGGGCCCGCACAAGCAGUGGAGCAUGUGGUUUAAUUCGAUGCUACGCGAAAAACCUUACCAGGGUUUGACAUCCCGGUGUAACCCCCAUAGAAAUAUGGGGCCCCUUCGGGGCACCGGUGACAGGUGGUGCAUGGUUGUCGUCAGCUCGUGCCGUGAGGUGUUGGAUUAAGUUCCGCAACGAGCGCAACCCUCGUUGCUAGUUGCCAUCAUUAAGUUGGGCACUCUAGCGAGACUGCCAGCGUCAAGCUGGAGGAAGGUGGGGGAUGACGUCAAAUCAUCAUGCCCCUUACAUCCUGGGCUACACACGUGCUACAAUGGCCGGUACAACAGGUUGCUACUUCGCGAGAAGAUGCGAAAUCCCCGAAAAGCCGGUCUCGAGUUCGGAUUGCAGGCUGA